AUGCCAAUCACGCUGCAAACAUAUCAAAAGGUAGUUUUCCAACACACCUCUGAUUUCUGUCCAACAGCUCAGUCAGUACCUUUCCUGCCAGGGUUUGAGUUUCCAGAAAUUGAUGGUGCAGCUGUUGAGGAUACCUGCAGGAUCUUUGUUAUCCCCACAUCUGAAGCUCCCACGACUACGUCUACAACCCAUCCACCAACAACAACUGCAACUUCCAUGACCAGGAAGCCAGUGGUCACAACGACCCAAAAGCCAACUGUCCAGUCAUCACCAUGGAAACCAGCAACCAACGCACCAAUCACAACACAACCAUUUUUAAAAGAACCAAUCACCAACCAGCAUAACACAGCGGUCCAAAACCUGCUCUACUACUUGCUGGCCAAUAGGGGGCAACCUGUGGCUACUUCUCAGCCAAUGGGAGACCUCGGAGUGUCAUCCAGCAGCGAUGAAUCAGCAGCAGUCUGGAGAGUCAGCUCCGUUUCCUCUGACGAAUCCAGUGAUGAGUCCUAGAUUUAAAUUAUCAGUACAUUUUAGACUCAGUUAUUUUGUGGAAUAAAUUUAGAUGCACUUUGUGUGUUUGAAUGCAAAAAUAAAAAAGAUUUCAAAGAAUCUUUAUUCCUGAUAUUUUUCAAAGAUAUUUGCAUCAUGUUACGAAUUUGAUGUAACCAAAUUUAAAACUGUUAUAAUACAUAUUAAGGACUUUAAACUGUCCAUGAACUAACUGUUCAGAUAAAAAGUACAAUUUGACACUAUAAAUCAGUAAAAAUCACACAAAACAUAAAACUUUGAUGUAGUUUUCAAUAUUUGUUAUAUUCACAACUUGAGAUUUUUUACUUUAACAAAGGUUUUUCUUUCAUUUUUGUGGUGUGUUUGUGUUGAUGUUAGGUCCUUGUUGCUGUUGGACGUCUGACACCAAACUCGAUGAAACUGGGUUUGUCUCUUUCCUCACGUUUCUGAUAGAAGCUUUGUUGGGUUUACCUGAGAAAACACCAAAACAAAAAUAUUUUAAUCAUGUUUUGUUAAGCAGGUUUUGCUUCAGAAUCACAAAUAUUACCUUAUGAUUGUCAAAAUAAAUGAUUGAUGACCUUUUGGAUAUUUGACUUACGUCAUUGAACAGGAUCAGAUAGUUACAUUGAAACAUUUUUAGGUCCUUUUAAAACUUGUUUUGUGCUCAAAUUUUAUGCGCGUAACCCAUCUAGACCUCAGUAUUUAGCCAGUGUGUGGUUUGUUUGUACUUUGUGAGUAAUACAGCAAAGACAACACAGGUACAUUUAAGUAAUAUUUCCCUACUAGGUAUGCUCCAUAUUGGCAUAUUGCUUUUUUACUGAUAUCCAGUAUCCGAUAUUGCUAAACUCUUAAUUUCCGAUACCAAUAUAAACUGAUAAAUGCGGGUGGGCGGGCUCCCCCCCCCCCCCCCCACCAACAGCUACGGGGGGGGGGCUGCCGCUCCUGCACCCCCCCAUGAAAUAGAAAAAAAUAAAUGAUUUAGGUUGCUAACAUCAGAGCAGUUUCUUGCUAUAUGCCGACUACGCAUAGGCAACAUAUGGCUACUAGGGCCCCCCCUAAGUCUUCAUCCUUGCAUGAGGAUCAAAAUAAUUUGCCUAUAUUAUUUAAAUGAUUAGAAAUACCUUAUUAGUAUAUAACAGAAAAAUAAGCCGCAGUAAGAUAACCGUUGUCUCUUUUGUGGCACAUUUAACCCAAAAUCGCUAGUUUCAGCUCCACUGUGUCACAUGUUGGACGUCCAUGGGAAGGCCAUCCGCAGUUGGGCAGUGUUGUUCCUUAAAUCAUUCACUGAAGUAACGUUCGUGAACUUGUUUGUUUUUUGUGAACGUGAACUAAACUCCUCCUUGAACCGUCAACUUAUCGUGGUGGAGGAGUUUGAGUGCCCUAAUGAUCCCACGAGCUAUGUUGACUGGGGCACUUUGUACCCCUGGUAGGGUCUCCCAUGACAAAUUGGUCUUAGGUGAAGGGUGAGACAAAG
This is a long non-coding RNA of Nothobranchius furzeri (turquoise killifish), 1981 nucleotides long. The record is from Ensembl. NCBI's taxonomy places the organism in Eukaryota, Metazoa, Chordata, Actinopteri, Cyprinodontiformes, Nothobranchiidae.